GCAGUGGUGGUUCACUGGUAGAAUUCUCGCCUUCCACGUGGGAGACCCAGGUUUGAUUCUCAGCCAGUGCA
This 71-nucleotide transfer RNA is filed under the name Loxodonta africana (African savanna elephant). It matches the Rfam family "tRNA". From Rfam's summary of the family: Transfer RNA (tRNA) molecules are approximately 80 nucleotides in length. Their secondary structure includes four short double-helical elements and three loops (D, anti-codon, and T loops). Further hydrogen bonds mediate the characteristic L-shaped molecular structure. tRNAs have two regions of fundamental functional importance: the anti-codon, which is responsible for specific mRNA codon recognition, and the 3' end, to which the tRNAs corresponding amino acid is attached (by aminoacyl-tRNA synthetases). tRNAs cope with the degeneracy of the genetic code in two manners: having more than one tRNA (with a specific anti-codon) for a particular amino acid; and 'wobble' base-pairing, i.e. permitting non-standard base-pairing at the 3rd anti-codon position. The record is from Rfam by way of RNAcentral. Lineage: Eukaryota; Metazoa; Chordata; Mammalia; Proboscidea; Elephantidae.